UAAAACUACUUUACCUUCUUUUGCAUUUGCAGAUUGACAUGAUAUAAUAAAUAGGCAAAAGAUGUAACAGUAACCCGAUAUGAAAUCCCAAUUUACUCUUUCCAUCAUUUGGUGGUCAUGUAUUGAAUUCGCUCCAUCCUUCUUUGUCAAUCUCAAAAACAGACUGAAGAUGUUUUCUCCUUCCAGCACUUGUUGGUAUAUGAGAAGAACAUAUGUGUUUGACUAAAUGUGAAUAAGACUGAAGCAAGGAAAGGAAGGGGAUGAUUAUGUUGAUGAUGAUUAUGGCUGGCUGGGUCCAUGAUUAAGAUAAUGUAAAAUGGGUUUUGAUUGGGUUGCUUGUUAAACAAAUAUGUUGAAUUGGCAAGAUUAGUUUGAUUGGUUAGUGGUUGGUCUUCUUAUGGUAUAUUAAACAAAUGAAAAUUAGGCUUAAUUAUAAUAAUAUUUUGGGCGGAGCUAUCCUUCUUAUUUAGUUAUUUCUAUAAUCUUCCCCUUUUUCUCCUUGUCGGUUGUUUUGAAGUCUACUUCAUGUUUGUCUUUUUUUAACAGGGAGAAAUGGUGUGAUUUGAGUACCUGAACUUCUGGGGUCGGUUGGUAGCUCAAGUGAAAAAAUAUUGUCUACGAGAACAAAUGUCUGAGGUAAAUUUUCAUUAAAAACGUCUUAAAUUGAAGUAAAUGUCAUAAAUGUCGGGUUAUACUAUAUUUCUCAUUUUAUUCUUUGAUUUAAAAAAGAAAAAUCAAUGUCACUUUCAGACAGUCUAAAUUGAAGACUAAAAUAUUUGAAGUCUAGGUCACGAAGAUGCUUUUAAAUAUAAAUUAUCCUUAACCAUGCCUAGUCUAUUAAUUAACUAUUUGAACUAAUUGAACAUUUUUGUUGACUUGAUUUAAAGUUAUUUGUUACAAAUUUGGUGGAUUUAUUUCAUAAUUUUCUUAUUAAAAAAAUUCAAUUCUAAGAUGUUCAUAGUUCUCAAGAAAUUACAAAAUAAAACCAGGGUUGAUAUUCUGAAUGUGUAGAGGUUUUUUUUAAGGAUAUUAGUCUAUAUCAUAUUUGACCUUCAAUCCAACCUUCAACAAAAUGUAUUUGGACUCAUUAUUAGAACGUACAUGAUUGGCUGUAUAUAUUUCUUUGCUUCAUUUAUAAAUUUAUAUACACGCCUUA
This is a long non-coding RNA of Impatiens glandulifera, 1156 nucleotides long. RefSeq lists it as uncharacterized. The record is from RefSeq and is a predicted model, not a curated record. The transcript is spliced from 2 exons. Lineage: Eukaryota; Viridiplantae; Streptophyta; Magnoliopsida; Ericales; Balsaminaceae.